GCUCUCAUAGUUUAAUGGAUAGAACGCUGGCUUGCGGAGCCGGUAAUGUAGGUUCAAUUCCUACUGGGAGCACAA
RNAcentral lists this transfer RNA (75 nucleotides) under Candidatus Campbellbacteria bacterium CG10_big_fil_rev_8_21_14_0_10_35_52. RNAcentral describes it as "tRNA-Arg". It matches the Rfam family "tRNA". From Rfam's summary of the family: Transfer RNA (tRNA) molecules are approximately 80 nucleotides in length. Lineage: Bacteria; Candidatus Campbelliibacteriota. The record is from RNAcentral.